This is a long non-coding RNA of Chiroxiphia lanceolata (lance-tailed manakin), 695 nucleotides long. RefSeq lists it as uncharacterized. NCBI's taxonomy places the organism in Eukaryota, Metazoa, Chordata, Aves, Passeriformes, Pipridae. The transcript has 4 exons. The record is from RefSeq and is a predicted model, not a curated record.
UAAUUAUUAUUGGAAACAAUUUCCAGUGAAUUUAAAUCCUCAUGUCUAUGCAGUAGGGCUGCAUCGUGCUCUGGCUCAUUAAUUUAUUAAACAUCAACGGUGAUGCAGUUCUUUGAUCCUCUUAAAAAUUAACCACCUACGCCUGUAUCUUAACCAGUUCUUGAGCCAUGGAAAUAUUCCCUCUCUCCUGGACAUUUCAGCUAAUCAACAAACCCUUGCCAGCACCUUUUCCUGAGAAGUUUUCAAAUUUCAUAUGAUUUAUAUGAGAUAAAAUACUUCACUACAAUGCCCCACAGCCCCUAAAACCAGAUGGUCCAGGCAGAGUUUACUGCUGGACUUUGCUCCUCUGGAGAUGGGAGCUUCCCUCCCUGGAAGGAGCCCUUCCAAAAGCCGCCUCUGAGUUGCUAAGAAACAGCUUGUCACUGUGGCAUGGGCUGUAAUCAGUUGUGUACAGAGCGUUCAACGCUCCUGGUACGUCUGCAUCAAUUAUGCAUCGCCGGUGUGAUUUUUCUUCCUGUGGAAACUUGGCUUCCAGAGGCUCUUUGUGGUGCUCCAGCCAUGACCUAAACCCUCCUUUGCUGAAUAAUUCCUACCGAGACAACACAGUUUCCCCGCUAUGUUUUCCACGCUGCCGUGUUUCAGCAAGGCAAAUAAAUCAGGCUGUCUCCUGCCACCGGGCAGCCUUGUUUGCUCAA